Long non-coding RNA from Humulus lupulus (European hop), 678 nucleotides. RefSeq lists it as uncharacterized. The transcript has 5 exons. NCBI's taxonomy places the organism in Eukaryota, Viridiplantae, Streptophyta, Magnoliopsida, Rosales, Cannabaceae. The record is from RefSeq and is a predicted model, not a curated record.
AUGUUUAUGCAAUUGCCCUGCUAACCAUUGGGGGACAUUCUUGUUGUUAGGAUGCUGUCUCUGAUCUUAUCAAGGCUCAUGAAGUUUCUCCUGAUGAUGAAACAAUUGCAGAGGUCUUGAGGUGUGAUUUCUUGUGAAUGAUCUUCUUGGACUUUGUUAUAGCAGAUUAACAUCAAUUGUUCCUUCUUUUUCUUUUUUUAACUAGCAUAUAUUGUUUUAACAGGGAUGUUGAGGAAAGAUUACUGAAGGAGGGAGGUGCACGUGCACCAAGAGUUGGUGAACACAGGAAAGGAAAGGGAAAAAGUCAGCCUUCUUUUUACAUGGGCGAAUUAUUGGUCAAACUGCUUUAAAUGGGAAGUACCAAUGGAUUCAAGCUGAUGGGCCAAGUGGGGAAUGGAAUUCUUUCAGAUCUACUGAAAAUAAACACACAUUUCAGGUAUUUCUUCUUUCUUUUUCAGUUUUUAGAGUUGAAAUCACAUACAUAUGUUGAAUUUUUUGAAGUUAGAAUUCUUGUUAUGUUUGCUUAUUUUGUGAAUUUUCUUUCACUCUACAGGAUGAUUCUAAGGUUUGCUAUCAGUUUUCCUCUGGAAUAAAGACCAUUGUGGUAGUACCGGUUGAACCACGAGGACUAGUACAGUUUGGAUCUACUGAGAAGAUAUCUGAAAGAUUGGACUUUGU